This 187-nucleotide non-coding RNA is filed under the name Clostridium tepidiprofundi DSM 19306. RNAcentral describes it as "6S / SsrS RNA". It matches the Rfam family "6S / SsrS RNA". Rfam says of the family: E. coli 6S RNA was the first non coding RNA to be sequenced, but its function was unknown until recently. The record is from Rfam by way of RNAcentral. Lineage: Bacteria; Bacillati; Bacillota; Clostridia; Eubacteriales; Clostridiaceae.
UAGUUUCUGAAGUGUUCGAGUUACUUAUUAUGCUCAACCGACAAAAUGAUUACGGGAUUUUCAAAAGUUUUACCUAUGUCAUGCUCCGCUUUAAUUAUUUUGGGAGAAGACAGAAGUAAGAUGAGAAAAACCCACCUGCUUGGACGGCGGGCGUGAGCAUAUAAGGAGACGGCAUUUUGGGGCUAAU